GAUGAACGCUGGCGGCGCGCCUAAUACAUGCAAGUCGAGCGAACAGAUGAGGAGCUUGCUCCUCUGACGUUAGCGGCGGACGGGUGAGUAACACGUGGAUAACCUACCUAUAAGACUGGGAUAACUUCGGGAAACCGGAGCUAAUACCGGAUAAUAUAUUGAACCGAAUGGUCCAAUAGUGAAAGACGGUUUUGCUGUCACUUAUAGAUGGAUCCGAGCCGCAUGAGCUAGUUGGUAAGGUAGCGGCAUACCAAGGCAAGGAGGCGUAGCGGACCUGAGAGGGUGAACGGGCACACUGGAAGUGAGACACGGUCGAGACUCCGACGGUGAGCAGCAGUAGGGAAUCUUACGCGAUGGAGGAAAGCCUGACGGAGCAACGCCGCGUGAGUGAUGAAGGUCUUCGGAUCGUAGAACUCUGUUAUUAGGGAAGAACAAAUGUGUAAGUAACUAUGCACGUCUUGACGGUACCUAAUAAGAAAGCCACGGCUAACUACGUG
Molecule: ribosomal RNA, 497 nt
Filed under: uncultured bacterium
Lineage: Bacteria
Description: partial 16S ribosomal RNA
Rfam family: Bacterial small subunit ribosomal RNA
Source: RNAcentral